AAACCUCAACAGUCGCAGCGGAAUAUAAACUAGAGUAAAUUCAAAUAUACAUGUUAAGAAUAAAUAAAUUACAUCAACAUAGAUGCAUCUCAAAAAUCCCAACAAACGGGUAAUCUCCAAACAUAACAAAAACCAAAGUAAAAGAUAAUCUAGACUGACACAACUAAGCCUAGAUCAGAGCCGACUAAACAUCUAAACACCGAUAUCGGAGAAAGCUCCAGAUAUCCACCAAGCACAAGAACUCACCAAGCAUCUAAUCCUGCACAACGUCUACCCAUCCAUACAGAUAGGCAGGCGGUCC
This 301-nucleotide long non-coding RNA is filed under the name Medicago truncatula (barrel medic). RNAcentral describes it as "long non-coding RNA (MTRU_LNC004606)". The record is from RNAcentral. Lineage: Eukaryota; Viridiplantae; Streptophyta; Magnoliopsida; Fabales; Fabaceae.